UACGUAGGGUGCAGGCGUUAAUCGGAAUUACUGGGCGUAAAGCGUGCGCAGGCGGUUUGCUAAGAGAGAUGUGAAAUCCCCGGGCUUAACCUGGGAACUGCGUUUCUAACUGGCAGGCUUGAGUGUGGCAGAGGGGGGUGGAAUUCCACGUGUAGCAGUGAAAUGCGUAGAGAUGUGGAGGAACACCGAUGGCGAAGGCAGCCCCCUGGGCUAACACUGACGCUCCUGCACGAAAGCGUGGGGAGCAAACCGG
RNAcentral lists this ribosomal RNA (253 nucleotides) under uncultured bacterium. RNAcentral describes it as "partial 16S ribosomal RNA". It matches the Rfam family "Bacterial small subunit ribosomal RNA", at positions 524 to 776 of the family's 1533-position model. The record is from RNAcentral.